AUGAACGCUGGCGGCGUGCCUAAUACAUGCAAGUCGAGCGAACGGACGAGAAGCUUGCUUUUCUGAUGUUAGCGGCGGACGGGUGAGUAACACGUGGAUAACCUACCUAUAAGCCUGGGAUAACUUCGGGAAACCGGAGCUAAUACCGGAUAAUAUUUUGAACCGCAUGGUUCAAAAGUGAAAGACGGUCUUGCUGUCACUUAUAGAUGGAUCCGCGCUGCAUUAGCUAGUUGGUAAGGUAACGGCUUACCAAGGCAACGAUGCAUAGCCGACCUGAGAGGGUGAUCGGCCACACUGGAACUGAGACACGGUCCAGACUCCUACGGGAGGCAGCAGUAGGGAAUCUUCCGCAAUGGGCGAAAGCCUGACGGAGCAACGCCGCGUGAGUGAUGAAGGUCUUCGGAUCGUAAAACUCUGUUAUUAGGGAAGAACAUAUGUGUAAGUAACUGUGCACAUCUUGACGGUACCUAAUCAGAAAGCCACGGCUAACUACGUG
Molecule: ribosomal RNA, 496 nt
Filed under: uncultured bacterium
Lineage: Bacteria
Description: partial 16S ribosomal RNA
Rfam family: Bacterial small subunit ribosomal RNA
Source: RNAcentral